This 106-nucleotide small nuclear RNA is filed under the name Neogale vison (American mink). The record is from RNAcentral. Lineage: Eukaryota; Metazoa; Chordata; Mammalia; Carnivora; Mustelidae.
GCACUCCCUUUAGCAGCACAUACACUAAGAGUGGAGUGAUAGAAGAAGAAUAACAGGGCCCUUGCACAAACAUAAUAUGUAACUUCUUGAGGUGCUCCAUAUUUUC